GCUGAUCUCAAGUUGGAGCUUUCUGCAGUGAUGAAGUCAUCUCUGAGAGCUAAGCACUCCACUGCCCAAGCUGAGACUUCCACUGCCUGGACGGUUUUUUGGCUUGUCAGCAUCUGGCCCAUCCCACUCGGUGACUGCUUGAGGUGGUCACGUCUCACUCUGGGGCUGUCACAGGCUAGGCCAAGCUAAGUCACAUGGUACGGAACUUCCUCAUACCCCUUUGCAAAUCGGAGUCAGAACCCCUCGGUGUGUGGGAUUUGAGGCUCUUUCCUUCGGACUCCCUGCCACAUGGCGGCUGUCUCAAAGAGCCUCUAGGCUUUGAAGACUCUCUCCCUUCAGGAAAGCAUCGAGCUGUCUGGCGUGAAGCUCUUCAGAGCUCUCCAGCCUCAAGUCUCCAGCAUGCCCUACCCCAUCUCCAAAAUCUCUCUUCCAAUAAAGCCUGAUCUGAAAGG
RNAcentral lists this long non-coding RNA (452 nucleotides) under Mus spretus (western wild mouse). RNAcentral's name for it is "lncRNA (ENSMSPG00010003685.1)". The record is from RNAcentral. Lineage: Eukaryota; Metazoa; Chordata; Mammalia; Rodentia; Muridae.